RNA transcript from Peromyscus eremicus (cactus mouse), 1637 nucleotides. It is a transcript of the gene named BLOC-2 complex member HPS5-like, with no coding region annotated. The transcript is spliced from 7 exons. Lineage: Eukaryota; Metazoa; Chordata; Mammalia; Rodentia; Cricetidae. The record is from RefSeq and is a predicted model, not a curated record.
GAAGAUUCCCACCCGUUCUGCAGGAAUCUGACGGCAGGGGGCGCUGUGCGGAGCCGCGCUGGGUGCGUCGGGCUCUCUGGCACGUCCUCUCGCCUCCUCCGGGCUUCCGGCGUGGCUCCCGCGCGCCAGCAUGGACCGUAACCCGUCGCCUCCGCCGCCUAGCUGCGAUCAGGAGGACGAGGAGGACCUGGCCGGGGGAGACUGCAUUGGGAGCACGGUCUACAGCAAGCACUGGCUCUUCGGCGUCCUCAGCGGGCUCAUCCAGAUUGUCACACUUGAAAGUGACAAGUCCGACUCAGAUGAUGAUGAGCAGCAGAUGGAGCUUGCUGAAGAAAUGGAGAAUGAAAUUUGCAGAGUCGGGGAUAUGUCCAUGGAUGAGGAUGUGGCUUUAUUUCUCUAAGAAUUUAAGGCUCCUGACAUAUUCAUGGGAGUGCUGGCCAAAUCCAGGUGCCCCCAAUUAAGAUUUCUGGUCUGGAUAUCUGACACUCUGUCUGGAGCUGGAGAGGAGGAGGGAGGCCUUCACCAACAUUAUGUAUCUGAAUGACAUAAGCCUCAUGGAAGGGGACAAUGCUUUUAGGUUUUGAGCAGCACAGUUCAGCUGAGAGCCAUUCGGAUAUGAGGACACAGAGGCUUCCAGUCUGAGGAAACAAGACCAGCCGAGAAGUUGGCAAGUGUUCUUACAGUUCUCACGUUUCAUGUAUGGAGCCUGUAUGCGCUGUGUUUCUGCGUGCAGGGUGGAUCCCUGAGACCUUGGAGGAAUGGAAGCUUCUCCUACAUCUACUACAGAACAAGAGCACGAGGCCAACUCCUCAGGAGUCACUGAAUGGGAGCCUCAGUGAUGGGCCUGCCCCCAUCAAUGUGGAGAAUGUGGCACUCUUGUUAGCUAAGGCCAUGGACCCAGAUCGGGCUUGGUCACUGCUACAGGAAUGUGGUCUAGCCCUUGAGUUGUCGGCAAAGUUUACCAGAACCUGUGACAUCCUGAGGAUCGCUGAGAGAAGACAGAGAGCGCUGAUACAAGCCAUGCUUGAGAAGUGUGACCGGUUCCUCUGGUCACAGCAGGCCUAGUGGGAGAUCUGUCGGGACAUGGUAUCAUUUUGACCAAGUGGAAUCCUGCUCCGGAAUCUUCAUAGGACUUUGCCACAGAAGGAAAAGGGAUACCCCAAACCAUGCCAGGAACAGAACCUGCCAUGCUGCUGCAGCUGCUCUUGCCACCAUCUCCACCUUGGCACUUGGCUCUUGGCUCUUGUGGCUCUAUGACCUCAGUUUGUCAACCAAAGUCGUCUCUUGGGAGAAGUUGGUUAUGGUUCCGUGGCCCGAGCAUGGGACUGCUCACUGCCAUGUGGUAUUCAGUGCAUACACAGUGGUGUUUGUGAUGUUAGUGCACCAGGGAAUCGUUUUCUACUGUGGCAGAUCUUUUGGGGGCAGACGCUUUGCUCCAUGAGGACAGAUAAUAUUGUGAACUGGAGUUCAGUACUAUUUACACUUGUCUGAGGCCAUCUAGAAAUUACCGAGUUAAGACUUAGAACAAUGACAUUGUUUUUGUUGACAUAUGUAAUAAACAUUGAAAAUUCAAACUAGAGUUUUAAAUAAAAUUGCCCAUAUCUGAGUUGAGCUCAAUUUAAAGUAUUUUUCCAGUA